Molecule: long non-coding RNA, 414 nt
Organism: Gopherus evgoodei (Goodes thornscrub tortoise)
Lineage: Eukaryota; Metazoa; Chordata; Testudines; Testudinidae
Exons: 3
Source: RefSeq, a predicted model, not a curated record
GCAGUAGGUUGACUGCUGCCACUCCCCCGGUGGAGUACCGGAGUCAACGGGAGACGGGGACCCCUGCUGGAUUGCUUGCUCCGGAGGAAUAAGAGCAACAACAGACUGUCGACUGAAAAUGAGGAUAAGUGAAGGUUUUGGUUUUCAAAGUGCGAUGGAAGCAGAGUGCUGGCUUUCAGUCAGAUCUGCUUGAUGCUUCAUGCAGGGGAAGCUUAAGUCCCAAGACUGAGAUCUCGAGAGUCCCAUCUGGGUCACCCUGAAUAUGGACAUAGGACCAUAGCCUUGGACUAAUUCUGAAAGAACUCUUUGCAACUACAAAGCUCACCAUCUCUAUUAAGAAUCUGAUCUCAGAACUGUACUCAAGUCUGUAUGCAUACUGAUAUUUUACCCAAUAUUCUCUCUCUUUUCUUUUUA